This 740-nucleotide long non-coding RNA is filed under the name Piliocolobus tephrosceles (Ugandan red Colobus). Its description in RNAcentral is "lncRNA (ENSPTEG00000038517.1)". The record is from RNAcentral. Lineage: Eukaryota; Metazoa; Chordata; Mammalia; Primates; Cercopithecidae.
AUGGGGUUGUUAGGUAUAGUUUGUGCUGAGUUAAUGUUACUUUGGCAUAUCAUUAGACAUAGGGAAAGGGUGUUAUUUAAUAUAAUAUUUUUCACUACAAUAUCCAUUUUUUAUUAUUUUACUUUCAAUGGAUCAUCUGUUGAUCACGUUGGUCAUUUGGGAGGUUUACUUUCAGGCAUAGCUAUGGGAAUAUUAUACAAUAAAGAUAUGCAAAACAAACCUUCUUGGUAUGGCCAUAUGAAAAUUAUAUCUAUUGCAAUUUUGAUACUAUUGGCUACCGUCCCAACAAUUAUAUUAUUUGCUGUUAAACGUACCUGUUAAUAUAAUUUACUUCUUUAAAUUAUGUAUUCUGCUAACACUCGUGAUAUAUACAUAUAUAUUUAUGCGCGUUCAUCUAUAUUGUUUACUUUACUGUUCAAUAUAGAUCUUCGCAGUAUAUAUUUUCAUACUAUUGAUAAAAAUUUAGUUAAAUUACCUUAUAUAUACCAAUAUGAAUUGAAAGAAAAUUUAUAUAUACAUAAACACAUGUUUCUAUAAUUUGUUUGCAUUUGCAGUUUUUGCCCUUCAUUAUUAUUUUUUUUUAAUUUAUUAUAAUAGUAUUAAAAAGAAAAAAAAAAAAAAAAUUACUUUAAUUAUGAUAUACAAAAUUUUAUGUCAUCCCAUUUUUUACCUUUUUCAAUUUUUUUUUCCGCUUUUCUUCUUUUUUUUUUUGUCAUUUUUUUUUGUUAACUUUUAAAUGU